RNAcentral lists this ribosomal RNA (433 nucleotides) under uncultured bacterium. RNAcentral describes it as "partial 16S ribosomal RNA". It matches the Rfam family "Bacterial small subunit ribosomal RNA", at positions 29 to 507 of the family's 1533-position model. The record is from RNAcentral.
AGCGAACGCUGGCGGCAGGCCUAACACAUGCAAGUCGAACGAACCUUUCGGGGUUAGUGGCGGACGGGUGAGUAACACGUGGGAACGUGCCUUUAGGUUCGGAAUAACUCAGGGAAACUUGUGCUAAUACCGAAUGUGCCCUUCGGGGGAAAGAUUAAUCGCCUUUAGAGCGGCCCGCGUCUGAUUAGCUAGUUGGUUGAGGUAAUGGCUCACCAAGGCGACGAUCAGUAGCUGGUCUGAGAGGAUGAUCAGCCACAUUGGGACUGAGACACGGCCCAAACUCCUACGGGAGGCAGCAGUGGGGAAUCUUGCGCAAUGGCGAAAGCCUGACGCAGCCAUGCCGCGUGAAUGAUGAAGGUCUUAGGAUUGUAAAAUUCUUUCACCGGGGACGAUAAUGACGGUACCCGGAGAAGAAGCCCCGGCUAACUUCGUG